GAUGAACGCUGGCGGCGUGCUUAACACAUGCAAGUCGAGCGAAGCACUAAAGCGGAUUUCUUCGGAUUGAAGGUUUAGUGACUGAGCGGCGGACGGGUGAGUAACGUGUGGGUAACCUGCCUCAUACAGGGGGAUAACAGUUGGAAACGGCUGCUAAUACCGCAUAAGCGCACAGUACCGCAUGGUACGGUGUGAAAAACUCCGGUGGUAUGAGAUGGACCCGCGUCUGAUUAGGUAGUUGGUGGGGUAACGGCCUACCAAGCCGACGAUCAGUAGCCGACCUGAGAGGGUGACCGGCCACAUUGGGACUGAGACACGGCCCAAACUCCUACGGGAGGCAGCAGUGGGGAAUAUUGCACAAUGGGGGAAACCCUGAUGCAGCGACGCCGCGUGAGCGAAGAAGUAUUUCGGUAUGUAAAGCUCUAUCAGCAGGGAAGAAAAUGACGGUACCUGACUWUKAGCCCCGYYU
RNAcentral lists this ribosomal RNA (469 nucleotides) under uncultured bacterium. Its description in RNAcentral is "bacterial SSU rRNA". It matches the Rfam family "Bacterial small subunit ribosomal RNA", at positions 28 to 498 of the family's 1533-position model. The record is from RNAcentral.